This 520-nucleotide ribosomal RNA is filed under the name uncultured Scutellospora. RNAcentral's name for it is "SSU rRNA". It matches the Rfam family "Eukaryotic small subunit ribosomal RNA", at positions 569 to 1094 of the family's 1831-position model. The record is from RNAcentral. Lineage: Eukaryota; Fungi; Glomeromycota; Glomeromycetes; Diversisporales; Gigasporaceae.
AGCAGCCGCGGUAAUUCCAGCUCCAAUAGCGUAUAUUAAAGUUGUUGCAGUUAAAAAGCUCGUAGUUGAAUUUCGGGGUUCUACCGUUGGUCGGGCUUUGUCUGUACUGGCGUGUAGAAUUUCUACCUUCUGGGGAACCAUUAUGUUAUUAAUUUAGCGUAGUGGGAAACCAGGACCUUUACCUUGAAAAAAUUAGAGUGUUCAAAGCAGGCUUAUGUCUGAAUACAUUAGCAUGGAAUAAUAGAAUAGGACGGUGGUCCUGUUUUGUUGGUUUCUGAAUCACCGUAAUGAUUAAUAGGGAUAGUUGGGGGCAUUAGUAUUCAAUUGUCAGAGGUGAAAUUCCUGGAUUUAUUGAAGACUAACUUCUGCGAAAGCAUUUGCCAAGGAUGUUUUCAUUAAUCAAGAACGAAAGUUAGGGGAUCGAAGACGAUCAGAUACCGUCGUAGUCUUAACCAUAAACCUAUGCCGACUAGGGAUCGGACGAUGUUAACUUUUCUUGACUCGUUCGGCGCCUUACGGG